GAUGAACGCUAGCUACAGGCUUAACACAUGCAAGUCGAGGGGCAGCAUGAUGGAAGCUUGCUUUGAUUGAUGGCGACCGGCGCACGGGUGAGUAACGGGUAUCCAACCUUCCCUGUAGUAGAGAAUAGCCCGGCGAAAGUCGGAUUAAUGCUCUAUGUUGUAUUUCGAAGACAUUUGAAGAAUACCAAAGGUUUACCGCUAUAGGAUGGGGAUGCGUCUGAUUAGGUUGUUGGCGGGGUAACGGCCCACCAAGCCCACGAUCAGUAGGGGUUGUGAGAGGAAGGUCCCCCACAUUGGAAUUGAGACACGGUCCAAACUCCUACGGGAGGCAGCAGUGAGGAAUAUUGGUCAAUGGACGGAAGUCUGAACCAGCCAAGUAGCGUGCAGGAUGACGGCCCUAUGGGUUGUAAACUGCUUUUAUAUAGGGAUAAAAGUCGGGGACGUGUCCCCGUUGUAG
Molecule: ribosomal RNA, 457 nt
Filed under: bacterium XBB1004
Lineage: Bacteria
Description: bacterial SSU rRNA
Rfam family: Bacterial small subunit ribosomal RNA
Source: RNAcentral